RNAcentral lists this long non-coding RNA (476 nucleotides) under Canis lupus familiaris (dog). Its description in RNAcentral is "lncRNA (ENSCAFG00040016281.1)". Lineage: Eukaryota; Metazoa; Chordata; Mammalia; Carnivora; Canidae. The record is from RNAcentral.
AUGCUGGGUGUCGGGUCACUAAACAGGCCGGCUCUGUGUACUCUCCCGGCCCUCGUCGCCCUCCCUCGCUGGUGUCUGUCAAGGUGUCUUGUUCUCCCCGGCGUCCCCUCGAGCGCCCCCAGCCCAGCGGCUCUGCGGACUGUCCCGAAGUCCUGGAACCCGCGGGACGGUCAGAGGCUUUGGCGGCCAGAUGUUAGGGGAAGUGUCCGCGCUCUCCGCCGCCCCUGGGCACCCUGGCGCGCGAGCCGGCCACCGAGGGAGCCAGAGCCAUUUGAGAUAGAACUGGGAACAGGAAGCCCACUGUCUCAGAGGACUGGAUCAACAAUGGUGCUCCCCAAGUACCUGAAGGCUGCAGGAUCUCAGGGCAGUGAGGGAGAGGAAGGAAAGAACCAACGCCCUUUGUGCUCCAGGCCUGGGAUCAGUUUUCAUGGUGACCUGUCCCAGAACCAAAGAAGCUUCGUCUACUUGAAUUAAAG